Molecule: long non-coding RNA, 1977 nt
Filed under: Homo sapiens (human)
Lineage: Eukaryota; Metazoa; Chordata; Mammalia; Primates; Hominidae
Description: non-protein coding lnc-ARL16-1:1
Source: RNAcentral
AGACGCAAAAGCGUCGUCUGUGGCGGCAGCUAGACAUCGGGCGACCCUCGUCCCGCCAGGUUUUGGGGUCGCGCAAACGAGCGACGGGGGCUGGGGCUCCGGAUUCAGGUGUUCUUUCUUCAGCGCUCACGGGUUUCUGUCCGUACGCGAUGCGAGCGAACGUCGCGGUCGAGGCUAGGGCCCCGAAGCCCGCAGUAAUCCACGUCUCCCGCCCGCUCCGGGCCCCCAGUGCCGCCGUCGCGGGCGGAGGCGCGAGGUCUGGGCUUUGGCGCCUUCGCAGCCGCAGGCGACAUCCUCUUUCCUAGCUAAAGCCCCAAACGCCCAGGUGGCUUCCUGGGAGAGCACGGCUGAGCCUCCGCCUUCAGAUCAGAACAGGCAGAGCCUCCAAGGGCGGCUUGGGCCCAGUGCCUGCUUAUCCUGCCCGUCUCUCCACACUUCUUCUUUCCCUGUCCGUUGGAGUCCAUUCCUUCCUGGAAAAGCCAAAGCCGCGCUCCCCUAAGAGGCCUGGAUGUGAAGGUGAGUGAGACGCCCUGGCCUCUGGGUGCAAAGGCCGGCGCCUGCCGCUUUCAACACUCAGGAGGCGCGUUUCAGCCCCGCUGGCCCCCGGCCGCAGACUCGGAGCGCUGAGCUCCCACCGUUCCCAUCACCCGACUCCCUUCCCAGGAAUGAGGAGCACCCGGGAAGCUUCAGCCACUACACGAAGGAGGCGCCAAGCCCAAACUCCUCCCCAGCUACCGGCGGGGUCAGUGCAGAGCCGCGGAGGGCACACAUGAACCCUGGCACGCAGCCUCAGGGAGGGGCAGGCUGGAAAUGACCCUGCCUGCAGCUGGGCCAUCAGCCUGACCACCUGCCCCCUGAGCAAACGUUGAUGCAGGUCGGGCGCGGUGGCUCAUGCCUGUAAUCCCAGCACUUUAGGAGCCCGAGGCAGGUGGAUCACCUGAGGUUAGGCGUUCACGACCAGCCUGGCCAACAUGGUGAAACACCGUCGCUACUAAAAAUACAAAAACUAGCCAGGCAUGGUAAUGGGGUGCACCUGUAGUCCAGCUACUCGGGAGGCUGAGGCCCGAGAAUCGCUUGAACCCAGGAGGCGGAGCUUGCAGUGAGCGGAGAUCACCACUCCAGCCUGGGUGACAGAGUGAGACUCCAUCUCAAAAAAAUUAAUUAAAGAAAAAACGCUGAUGCUUUCUGAAAUACAUUUUAUUAUCGCUGUACCAUUCUGGGGCACUGGAGAUGGCAGCUGAGAAGCAGAGAAGCUGGAGACCUGAAGCCUCCACCCUUGGCUGUGGCUGCCGAGAGAGGCCCCUGCAGAGGGAGCCCCAGGCCACACCCAGACACCACAGCCAGCUCACAGUGCGGCCAGAGGGCACAGGCUGCUUGGGGGGUGAGGGUCCCCAUUCCUGCCACCUCUCACAGACCAUGACCCACAGGGCUGGGGGCUUCCCCUGGGAGAAAGUCCUUCCCUCCCCAUGGCCCAGCCCUGGGGAAAGAAAGCAGAGACUAACUCAGGGACUGCAGUAGGCUGAGGACAAGGGAGGUGGGCUUGGGGUGAAGGCCCCCCCUCACUCGCAGAGAAGGGACACUACCGGCAGUAGAGGACAGGGAGGCAGGACGACGGCAGUUAGAGACGAGGCGUUUCAGGUGAACUGUAUGUAGUGUUACUCCGGACGUGAGCAUGGCCUGGGUCAGUCGAAUGAAAUGAGCUGGGCCUCGCUGCCCUGUGCCGGCGGCCCCUGUGCCUGCGGUUGCUGGGCCACGGGGGGCUGCUGCUGGGGGGGACCGCCAGAGGGUGCCAUCUGUGCAGGAGGAAAGCAGGCAUGGCCCUGGUCCUCCCUUCCCCAGCCCAGGGAGGAAGGCUUUUGUCCCAGCAGAGCCACAGACCCACAAGUGCUUGUAAUCCAUGUCCACGGACUGCAGCUCAUGCAGCCAGCUCAUGCGGCCUUUGCCUUUCAAGUAAAUUCACGGUUUUUCCUGUCUACA